Molecule: ribosomal RNA, 468 nt
Filed under: uncultured bacterium
Lineage: Bacteria
Description: partial 16S ribosomal RNA
Rfam family: Bacterial small subunit ribosomal RNA
Source: RNAcentral
GACGAACGCUGGCGGCGUGCUUAACACAUGCCAGUCGAACGGAAAGGCCCUGCUUUUGUGGGGUGCUCGAGUGGCGAACGGGUGAGUAACACGUGAGUAACCUGCCCUUGACUUUGGGAUAACUUCAGGAAACUGGGGCUAAUACCGGAUAGGAGCUCCUGCUGCAUGGUGGGGGUUGGAAAGUUUCGGCGGUUGGGGAUGGACUCGCGGCUUAUCAGCUUGUUGGUGGGGUAGUGGCUUACCAAGGCUUUGACGGGUAGCCGGCCUGAGAGGGUGACCGGCCACAUUGGGACUGAGAUACGGCCCAGACUCCUACGGGAGGCAGCAGAGGGGAAUAUUGCACAAUGGGCGGAAGCCUGAUGCAGCAUCGCCGCGUGCGGGAUGACGGCCUUCGGGUUGUAAACCGCUUUCGCCUGUGACGAAGCGUGAGUGACGGUAAUGGGUAAAGAAGCACCGGCUAACUACGUG